Molecule: unclassified non-coding RNA, 361 nt
Filed under: uncultured bacterium
Lineage: Bacteria
Description: contains 16S-23S intergenic spacer region
Source: RNAcentral
UCCCCGUUACCGAGGCAGUCUAGCUAGAAAAAUUCAACUAGCUACAAGGGUUGCGCUCGUUAAUGGACUUAACCAAACAUCUCACGACACGAGCUGACGACGGCCAUGCAUCACCUGUCACUGCGGCCCGAAGGCACAUUUUCCUUUCGGAAAACUUGGCAGGAUGUCAAGCCUUGGUAAGGUUCUUCGCUUAUCAUCGAAUUAAACAACACGCUCCACCGCUUGUGCGGGUCCCCGUCAAUUCCUUUAUGUUUUAAGCUUGCGCUCGUACUCCACAGGCGGGAUGCUUAACGCGUUAGCUUCGCUACUACACGGGUCGAUACGCAUAACAGCUAGCAUCCAUAGUUUACGGCGUGGACUA